This 364-nucleotide small RNA is filed under the name Pongo abelii (Sumatran orangutan). RNAcentral describes it as "processed transcript". Lineage: Eukaryota; Metazoa; Chordata; Mammalia; Primates; Hominidae. The record is from RNAcentral.
ACUAUGUCUCUUCUGGGUACUUCAACUUUUGUAGGAUUAAGCAUUAGUUAAGAUUUAGUUAUAGUGUGAAUGUUCUUUGGAUUUUAGUAGGACAUUCAGUAAAUUAUUUCUUGCAUAUACUGGUAUACAUUCUGCCUACCAUUAGAACCCAGAGUGUGUUUAAAUUAGUGUCCUAAAUUAAUCACAUUUUUUUUCUGCUGUGUGUUUCUAUUAGGUUUCAGAAAAGGGAUCCCUAACAUCAGAAGAGUUUGCUAAGCUUGUGGGAAUGUCUGUCCUCCUAGCCAAAGAAAGAUUAAUCUGAGAGAAUGUGGAUUCAUCCUGUCAUCUUUCUCAUGCUCAAAUACUUAAAAUGGUUCUUUUGCCC